This 453-nucleotide ribosomal RNA is filed under the name uncultured Leptolinea sp. Its description in RNAcentral is "bacterial SSU rRNA". It matches the Rfam family "Bacterial small subunit ribosomal RNA", at positions 916 to 1382 of the family's 1533-position model. The record is from RNAcentral. Lineage: Bacteria; Bacillati; Chloroflexota; Anaerolineae; Anaerolineales; Anaerolineaceae.
GGGGCCCGCACAAGCGGUGGAGCAUGUGGUUUAAUUCGAUGCAACGCGAAGAACCUUACCUGGGCUUGACAUCCCGGGAAUCCCCCUGGAAACAGGGGAGUGCCUUCGGGAACCCGGUGACAGGUGCUGCAUGGCUGUCGUCAGCUCGUGUCGUGAGAUGUUCGGUUAAGUCCGCUAACGAGCGCAACCCUCGCUGUGUGUUAUAUGUGUCACACGGGACUGCCGGUCUUAAGCCGGAGGAAGGUGGGGAUGAUGUCAAGUCAGCAUGGCCUUUAUAUCCUGGGCUACACACACGCUACAAUGGCCAACACAAUAGGUUGCUAAGCCGCGAGGUGGCGCCAAUCCAUAAAGUUGGUCUCAGUUCAGAUUGUAGGCUGCAACCCGCCUGCAUGAAGAUGGAGUUGCUAGUAACCGCAGGUCAGCUAUACUGCGGUGAAUACGUUCCCGGGUCUU